This is an RNA transcript of Mauremys mutica (yellowpond turtle), 7310 nucleotides long. It is a transcript of the gene named purinergic receptor P2Y1, with no coding region annotated. Lineage: Eukaryota; Metazoa; Chordata; Testudines; Geoemydidae. The record is from RefSeq and is a predicted model, not a curated record. The transcript is spliced from 3 exons.
GGCGCGGGGAGGGAGAGGCACAUGCCGCCCCCCGGGCGCCCCUUCUCCUGCCUUCCGGAGCGGCCGAGCAGGCGGCGGCAGGGCGGGGGCCGGAUCCCCGAGGCGCGGACCCGCUGAGCUGCCGGGAAGAUGCUUUCUUGUCCCCCCAGAGACAGUUGCUGCUUUACCCCCAGACCUGUCUGACUUUAGUGGAGAGAUCAUGACUGAAGUCCUCUUUUCAGCUGUUUUGAAUGGGACUGAAACCAACAUUCUGUCAAACACUGGCUGGACUCUAGGAAAUGCCACUACCAAAUGUUCCCUAACCAAAACCGGCUUCCAGUUCUAUUACCUGCCCACUGUCUACAUUCUAGUCUUUAUCUCUGGAUUCCUGGGCAAUAGUGUGGCGAUCUGGAUGUUUGUUUUCCACAUGAGGCCUUGGAGUGGCAUCUCAGUUUACAUGUUUAAUCUGGCAUUAGCUGAUUUCUUGUAUGUCUUGACACUCCCUGCCCUCAUCUUUUAUUACUUCAAUAAAACUGACUGGAUCUUUGGAGAUAUCAUGUGCAAACUGCAACGGUUCAUCUUCCAUGUGAACCUGUAUGGCAGCAUUUUGUUUCUGACUUGCAUCAGUGUGCACAGAUACACAGGGGUAGUGUAUCCUUUGAAAUCACUUGGGAGGCUGAAGAAAAAGAAUGCUGUUUACAUCAGUACCCUUGUUUGGAUCAUUGUUGUAGCUGGGAUUUCUCCUAUAUUGUUCUACUCUGGAACUGGGCUAAGGAAAAAUAAAACCAUUACCUGUUAUGAUACUACAACUGAUGAUUAUCUGAGAAGUUACUUCAUUUACAGCAUGUGCACCACUGUGUUUAUAUUCUGCAUCCCAUUCAUAUUGAUUCUUGGUUGUUACGGACUAAUAGUGAAAGCUUUGAUUUACAAGGAUUUGGACAAUUCUCCUCUUAGGAGAAAAUCAAUUUACCUGGUUAUUAUUGUGUUGAUGGUCUUUGCCGUGUCUUAUCUUCCCUUUCAUGUGAUGAAGACAUUGAAUCUAAGAGCCAGACUGGAUUUUCAGACUCCACAAAUGUGUGCCUUCAAUGACAAAGUAUAUGCCACUUACCAAGUGACAAGGGGGUUAGCUAGUCUCAACAGCUGUGUAGAUCCUAUUCUGUAUUUUUUGGCAGGUGAUACCUUUCGAAGUAGACUUUCAAGGGCAACCAGAAAAGCGUCUAGAAGAAGUGAGCUCAAUGUGCAAUCAAAAAGCGAGGAAGUGACUCUCAAUAUUUUAGCAGAAUAUAAAGUGAAUGGAGACACGAGUAUGUGAAUGGAAAAGAUUUGCAAGCAGUUGCAAAAAACAAAACAAAACUUUCCGUUUUUAACACACUUAGAUGCUCUAGUGCCAUGACUGUUUGGGAAAAAUCUACUGAACUGGCCAGCAAGCUUGCUCUUUUUGUGUUGGGGGUGUCUCAUUUUGUGAAUUUAAGGAGAACUUAAGCAAAGUAAGUGUAAAAAAAAUUUAAUCUUAAUGGGGGGGAAAAAUGCAUCAGAUUUCUGUUUUUACCUUUUUUUUAAAAAAAUGCUCACAAUAGUAUAUCUUCCUGAUUGGUGUCAAAUAAAAUAAGACAAAACAAAUCCCAUAGAGGAAAAAUAGUUUCAAAUGUGCUGCUGUUAUUAAUUCUUUUCUCUCCAUUAAUAAUAACAGAUUUAAAAAAAAUUAAAUCUCCAAGAAAAAUAAACUUCUUUUCUGGGCCUCUGUCCAUACUUCCAUCCAUAGCCUCUUCUUUUACACUUACACUGUAAAAAAUUGUUUACAUUAAGAUCAUGAUGCAGCAAUCUUGAACAUUAUCUUGUGAUUUCUGUAUCUUCUACUUUUGGAACAAAUGAUAAUAUUUUGGUAGCUCAGUGGUGCCCUUUCUGGUUCUAUCUUUUCUGAAGACUUGAUUCCUAUAAGGAUAGGUUCCAGGCCCAUGUGUAUUAUGACCCUCACAAAUUAUUGUGAUUGUACGUGAAAACUAAGGGUGAAAUUUUGGCAAUGUUGAAGUCAAUGCUAUUGAUUUUAGAGGGGCCAGAAUUUCACCCGGAUGUUUGCACAGAGACUGUCUAUUUUGCUUUUUGUGCAAGCAGCUACCUAUGCACGCACAAUCGCAGUACAUUUUGAGUGUAGAUAUCACCUACAAAUCUGAGUACAAAAAUUGGCACUGUAUAUCUAAAUAUCCAAUAUUUUAGUCGUUGCUGAAGUAAAACCCUCAUUGUCUUCAGUGGAAAGAACCAAAUAAUGGACCUGAAUAAGGACUGCAGGAAUGGGCUCUGCUUGGGCAAAUGGCAGGACCAAAUUUAUAGAUUUGGAAGAGGCUUGCUCUUUAGAGUUACAAAUUUUGGCCAAUACUUCACUGCUGCUCUGACACUCAGCAUCUGAUGCUGGAAGUUUGUGUGAAUUCUCUUAUGGGUAACAAACUCUAUUAUUGAAAACACUUCAAUUUUUAUCCACAUAAUUCAAAUAUCUCUGGCUUUUAUCUUAACCUUCAUUUGGUACAAGCAUUUUUCACUUUCUUAUCUUGUGUGAUAACACAAGCUGUUUCCCAGGCAAAUUCUUAUCAAAAUGGGUUAAAGAACAAUAUUUGUUGGAAUCAGGAGAAAAAAAAAGAUAAACUUCAUUUUUUUUUACUGUGAAUAAAGAAUUACUGUAUCAACAAAAUGUUGCAAUACACUGCCAAUAAUUUCAUGCUGGGGAGUGGAUACCUUCAUAAUUUGUCUCACGCAAAUGUGUAAAAUGGUCACCUAAAAUUGGGCAGAAUAAUACAUUGUGUAAUGCAUCAGUCAGUGAGGAGUUGAGCACAGACAGAAUCUGUGGGGAACAGAACCUUAUUUAUUUCACAUAGAUAUUGUUUGAAAUGUGUCUGAAAGUAUUAUUGAAUCUGGUGCACAAAAUGGUGUGAUAUGUAAUCAGUAAAUGGUUUUAACAAAUCCUCAGCUCCCACAAACUUUAUACUAGGAAUAAAAAUAAACUAUUUCUAUCUUGCUUAUUAAUUUCCAAGGACUGUCUACAUGCAGAAAAUGAAUAGCUCUAGAUAUCUCUUGACUAAAUUGUUAAGCAGCUUACAUUCAGAAAUAUAAAACUACUUAACCUGCAAAAACUAUUUAUUUAACUUAUUUAUUGGAAGACUAAGUACAAAUGUGAAGUGUUGUUUAAUAACAUUUUAAAUGAUUCUGUUUUCAUAUUUUCAUAAUUGAGCAUUAAUGGAAAAAAUUGAAUGGCAUGUUUGAAUUGUUGUAAUUGUACUCUAAUGGAACAUCUUUUAUAAUAAACUCUCAGAUCCAGCGCUGCAAGACAUUUUGGAUUACCAUUUGCUGUUGAUGUGCAGUCUACACCUAAAUUAAGCUACUGUUUAGCAAGCAUAAUAUUUUACAGUAAUGCUAAAAAUCUCAUUUAAUCCUAUAAAUCCAAGAAAAUGUAGAGCAAAUGCAAAAAAUCAAGGCUAAUGUUCCUCUUUGUGACAAAACUUUGUUGAAUGUACAGACCUUGGUUCUCAUUUAUAAGGCCAAGUCUCCUGUGUAGCUACUCUAUGCCAGUGGGAGAGAGCUCUCCCACCGACAUAGCUCUGUCCACACAGGCACUUUUGUCUGUGAAACUUAUCCAUUUUCACACCCCUGACUGACAAAAAUUUUGCUGACAAAAGUGUUAGUGGAGACAAAGCCUAAGGCUCCUUUAUGCUGCCAGAGAAUGAGAAUCAGCCCCACAGUACAUGGUGUGUAACUGGUGUGCUUGGCAGAUGAAUUAAGGAUAGUGUCAGAAUGGAUUUACAGAUUGUGCAAUGAAUGGAUUUUUAUGGGUUUAAAAUCAUGUUAUUUUCACAGUUUUGUGGUCUUUCUUUUUUCCUUCAAUUAGGGAAUAAAAUGUUGCACUAAUUAGGAACUUUUUGAAGCAUGAAACACACAUACUCAAUUCUCAGAUUCAGAAAAGUCUGUAUUUAGAUACUUUAAAAAAAUAUAUAAUCAACCCACUUUUACUUUUUAAAUGUGUAUCAAAACUAUGCUAAACCAUAUUGGCUAUUCAUUAAUGUAUAUUAGACCUUAAAAAUCAAGAGCAGCAACAAAAUUUUAGGGAUACAAUUGUAAGACAUAGGUACAGCUCAUAAUGAGGGGCAGGGAGGAUCUGCACAACUCCAUGGGAAACUCAAAGGCAGUAUUUACCCUCCUUAAGUGGCAGAAUGCCCGCCGCUCUGCUCCUUUGUGGGGUACACCAUUCUCCCUACAGCACACUGGUUUCCAAACAUGGACUGUUUCUGUGCCUUCCACACAACAGUGGAAAGUUAAUUUUGAAUCAUCUUGCCUGCAUAUACUCACUUAAGAGACCAGCCCAAUAUCUCACUAUUGUCCAUUGUGGUAAUAUUGUAUGUAAUCAGGAUUAUUUUUUAAAGGUGACUUGCAGAGGCAAGACACCUCGUUCCAGUAACUUUAGCUCAGUUAUGCCCUGGAAGUUUCCAUGGUGCAGUUAGGAGGGGCAUUAAGUACAUUUUUAUCUUAAAACUUAUUCUAUUUUCCUUCUUUCAGGUCCUGUGACAUUCAGAACUACCAACAACCAGUACCUCCAUCCUAUUCUGAUGUGAGUCCCUGACAUGCACCAUUCUGAGAUGACACAACUACCACAGCCACCACUGAGUUCAGCUGGAACAUGGAGCUGGUCCACAGAAUCUCACGUUAAGUCCCCACUUUUUUUUUUUUAACAUUAAGAUAUUUGGCACACAUUCUGCGCCUCAGAGUAGAUAGAGCUACUACAAAAUCAUGGCACAGGAUAACAAGAGUGACUCUAACUCAGUGCUCCAGCAUGACUACUUUGUACCUGCAACAUCACAGCAUGGUGUGUGUUGGGUAAUCACAUCCGAGGAGGAUCUGGGCUGGAUGUCAUGGGACCAGAAAUAAAUUGUUUUCUUGCUCAGUGUUGCAUAGCUCCUGGGGGAAUUUGCCAAAUAUAUUGGUAAACACUACUGCCAUUUGGGACGUAAUCUUAUUAAAAUAAAUUUAAUAGUAGUGAAAGGUAACCAGCCUGACAGGCCUUGAGACUAAAGGACCCCCCUGCAGCUCUUCACAGCACUGGCAUCAGCAGAGAAAAUCCCCUAAACUGCCUCUCACAACAUCUCUCAUGCUGACCCUAGUGGAACCACUUCUAGGUAUGUGAGGCGAAUACAGUUUUCAUUUCCAUUCAGACCUUUGCUGACACUGCUGAGAAUGAUGCCAUUUAGUGACAAUGGUAAUUGUGGGCUUUGUAGUCCUGUUUACUAGGACCUGGACUCAGGCAAUCACCUCCUUACACAAAGUAUUCCUAACAGUACUGACUUAACUCUUUAGUGUGAUGGGCUGGACUUGAACCUUGAGCCAGCUAUUUUCUCUUGGCAUCUUUGCUGGUAGUCUUCUAAAUAUAUAUUUAUUUAUUUAGAGAUCCAUAAAAGCUCUUGAUAAACACUUUUUAUUUAAAAAAAAAAUUACUUUUUAAAGAAAUGAAUAUUUGACCUAAACAGAGCUACAAUGAUCUAUACAGAAACAAAUGACUGUUCAUGGUAUAUUUGCAUUUUGUAGCUCCAUAGGGUCAAAGUUGCCUCAUUUAUGCCCAUGUGCUCCCAGGAGGGAUAAUGUCUAAUACAAAAUGAAGCAACUGUAAUCUAGUUACUGUAUGUGGGCUGUGGGCACUUUAGAAACUUCAAUAGCUUGAUAUCUUGGGUAUUUAAAUUUGUUGUUUUUAAACUAUCAGGUUUAAGUCCAGUUUAUGCAUUAGUAGCCUAAUGAAAAUUUAAUUUUAAAGACACCAAGUGCCAAAUUUUGCCACUGGAUGCACAUGAGUAACGCCCAUUGAAUUUAGGGAUAGCUUCCCAUGUGCAUUUGAGGACAGAAUUUGGGAUUGAGUUAUUAUUUUAUAGAACCAUAUAAUAAGAAUGUUGUUAUAGCUCAGUGAGUUGAGCAGUAGCCUGCUAAACCCAGAGUUGUAAGCUCAAUCCUUGAGGGGGCCAUUUAGGGAUCUGAGGCAAAAAAAAAUAAUAAAAACUAUUAGGGAUAAUAGUUGGUCCUGUUAGUGAAGGCAGGGGACUGGACUCCAUGACCUUUUGAGGUCCCUUCCAGUUUUAUGAGAUAGGUAUAUCUCCAUAUAUUAUUAUUUUAUUUAUUAAUAAGGGUCGCAUUACAGUAUCGCAACAUUAAACCCAUGGUAGGGAUUUUCCUGUAGCCAAGAUGCCACUGAAUCCUUCCCUCAUGAGGAAAAAUGGGGGAACAGUGGAGGCAGGGGACCCAGGACCUGUACACCACAGCUCUGCCAAGGGCCAGCACUCCUCCCAUCUGGCAGCGUGGGUUCUUAAGGAGAAGUGGGUUUGCUACUGGUCAUUCCAGCUGAGCUUGUGCUAUUUUUCCCCCUCUGUGGAGAAGAUACAGUGCAGACCACAGGGUGGAGAAUUAACCCCUGCUCCUUUUGUCCACUGCAUUUCCACUGGAUUCUGAGAGGCACAUGCUAUGUAAAAUGGCUGUUCCUUUUAUUCACUCACCACCUAUCCCCAAAAGUGAGUGGAGUUCCUCUGGGUCCCAGGCACAGAAAAAGGGGAAAACAUACUAUCCUGGCUUGGCUUACUCCCACUGCUUCUGGGGCAUUUUUGCCCCAUAUUGCUUUAGUCUUUUAUUUGGUCUCCCGUGUUCCUCACAGCCAAAGGAAGUAGUCCUAACAUCUUGCCCAUUUUCCAAAAAUGUACGGUAAAUUAAUACACAUUAAUAUCCAAGCAUUAUAGUGUCCACUUUCUGCCUCAAGUAAAGUUUGCUGGAUAGUCUAUAUGCUUCCCCAUGGGGUAAAUUCUACCUGCAGUUCUCUCUAGACAUUUAUUUCAUGCUCAUGAGCAUGGCUUCUGAGUACAUAUGUGGGCACAAUGCCCAGAAAUAUAUCUGGAAGUUCUAGCACUAAUAAUACCUAGCAUUCAUAUAAUAGCUUACAUGUUCAGUGUGGUGUUAUACAAACAUUAAGUCCUCUCUAAUGUAGGUAGGUAUCGUUAUUCCUGUUUUAUACACAGGCAAACUGACACAGAGAGGUGAAGCAAAUUGCCUAUACAGUUAAUCAGCAACAGAGCCAGGAUUAGAAUUUGGACGAUUCUGAUUUCCAAACCAGUGCUCAUUCAGCUGACUUCUUGUACAUGUAAUUAAUGGGAGUCUUGCAUGCAUAUUCGAGGGCAGAAUUUGACCCUCACAAGGAAGUUGUCUGAGAACCACUAAAAAAUCCUUAACUACAGUAUAGUAGCUUGACUUGCAGCAUUUUAUCACUCUUACAUUUGCUGUAUUAUUUUUAACUCCAGAUGUUUUUGUCACCAUUUAGAAUU